AUGGCCACACAACACCUCGUCCCAAGGUGCCCUCUCAAGAUCCACCGUCACAGCCACGCCAUCAAGCCGCGACGAAGGGACGCCCCGCCACUGCCAUCAUCCCCCAGCACGGGCUUUGCCCAGCCUAGAUCCGAUGGCGGCGGGAGGGGAGGCGGACGUGAGGCGGAGGAGAUUGGGAGGGGCAGCGGGGAUCCGGGAGGUGGAGGAGAGGUCGUAUACCUUUAUGUCAGAGGUGGGUCAAUCGUCCCAUAUCGAAUGGUGCUGGUUUUUUGCUGCAAGAACAGGUGCCUCCACAUAUCCUGCAUUCAUGGCCACAUUGAAUUCUUCAGGCUGGCGCUAGAAGUAGACCAGUCUCUCCUCUCAAAGGUUAAUCACGAGGGCGAGACACCACUUGUCAUUGCCGUGGCACACGGGCAUGCCAAUUUGGCUUCUCUUUUACUCAAACGCUGCAAUGACCUAGGACUGCAAGCCACAAUCUUGCGUCAGGACAAAGAUAAAUCUAAUGCACUGCACCACGCCAUCCGCAAUGGCUACAUGGACCUUGCGAUACAGUUGUUAGAAGCGGCGCCUGCUCUGUCGCACCAUGUAAACAUAUACCGUGAGUCACCCAUGUUCAUGGCUGUAAUGAGAGGUUUUAGAGAUAUUGCCUUGCGACUACUGGAAAUCAAUGAUUCUUCUCAUGCUGGCAGUUUUUGCCGCCAUGCUCUUCAUGCCGUAGCUAAAAAUGGGGAUCAAUUUAUUGCUGCACAAAUUAUGAAGAAACGUCCUCAACUAGCACGAAAAGCCGACUCCAACGAGGAUACUCCGAUAAGGCUUGCCGUCUGUUACAACAAGGUUGGGGUGCUGCGGGAAUUGCUGCAACAUGAUAUUUCAUUAGGGUAUGAAGUAAACAACCAAGGUUUUACUCUCCUUACUAGUGCCGCAACUCGAGGUCAUGUUGGUGUUGCUCGAGAGCUUCUUAACCAUUGUCCAGAUGCUCCUUAUCGCCAUGUACACCAUCAAGAAUUGACAUGCCUUCAUUCAGCUGUACAAAAUGGUCAUACGAAGUUUAUUGAGUUUAUCCUCCAGACACCGCAACUUCAGCGUCUCGUUAAUAUGCAAGACAGCAGCGGAAGAACCGCUCUACAUUACGCAGUCGAGAGGUGCAAUCCCAGAACAGUUGCUGCUUUAUUGUCUUGCAAGGGUAUAGACACAACAAUAUUUGACAUUCAUGGUGAAUCCGCUGCUUCCCUAUUGUCAGGCAUCACCAGCCACGAGAAGAAUUUGGACUGGAAGGAGGUGCAGGUGCUUAUGUUGAAAGCUGAUCCCAAAGAUGAUGACAUCCCUUCAGAUAAUAUUCACAAGGAGGUUGAGCAACAGGAAACUAUUGAAUCGAUAAAGGAGAGGAAGUCAACAACUCAAAGAUACACAACAAACACGUCAUUAGUGGCGAUCCUCCUUGCGAGAAUCACCUUCACCGCUGCUUUCACUUUGCCUGGAGGAUACAGCAGUGAUCCUGGUAGCGAGGGAAAUCCCAUCAUGUCUAAAAAGGCCGCAUUUCAAGCAUUCCUAAUCUUUGACACCUUAGCAAUGUGCUCUGCAUUUGUUGUGUCCGUCAUAUGCCUCAUGGGAAGAUGGGAGGAUGAUAGGUUCACAAGUUAUUACAUCACCGUUACUAAGAGGCUCACUUGGUUUGCGUACAUGGCAACACUUGCGGCUUUUGCAGCUGGUUUAUACACGGUACUAUCUUCUCGUCGCCACUGGAUGGCCAUUGGGAUUUGCCUUUUGGUAGGUUUUUGCCCUUGUCUGACUUGGCUCAUAAGUAAAUGGCCUAUCUUGAAGCUCAAUUAUCGGUUGGGUAGACGUUGGUUCUCCAUGUUGUUUGGAGAUUACAGGGUGGGUCAACCUUCCAGCUCUGCUUUCCGUGACAUGGUCUGA
This 1917-nucleotide ribosomal RNA is filed under the name Triticum aestivum (bread wheat). Its description in RNAcentral is "partial small subunit ribosomal RNA". The record is from RNAcentral. Lineage: Eukaryota; Viridiplantae; Streptophyta; Magnoliopsida; Poales; Poaceae.